AACGAACGCUGGCGGCAUGCCUAACACAUGCAAGUCGAACGAGACCUUCGGGUCUAGUGGCGCACGGGUUCGUAACGCGUGGGAACCUGCCCUUAUGGUCGGCAUAACUCCCCGACAGGGGUGCUAAUACCGGAUAAUGUCUUCUGACCAAAGAUUUAUCGCCUUUGGAUGGGCCCGCGUUUCAUUAGCUAGUGGGUAAGGUAAAAGCCUACCAAGGCGACGAUGCGUAACUGGCCAGAGAGGAUGAUCAGCCACACUGGAACUGAGACACGGUCCAGACUCCUGGGGGAGGCAGCAGGCGGGAAUCCUCCGCGAUGGGCGAAAGGGGGAAGGUGGAACACCGGGUGAAUGAUGAAGCCCUUCGGGCCGUAGAAGUCUGUAAGUAUGGAGGAUCAUAAGUGUAUUUAACCGGGCAUAUCAUGACGGUACCUGGGCAAAAAGCCCCGGCUAACUACGUG
RNAcentral lists this ribosomal RNA (458 nucleotides) under uncultured bacterium. RNAcentral's name for it is "partial 16S ribosomal RNA". It matches the Rfam family "Bacterial small subunit ribosomal RNA", at positions 29 to 507 of the family's 1533-position model. The record is from RNAcentral.